CCUCAGCCCUACGGCGUGCCUUACCCCUCCCUCUUCGUCGUCCUCCCCCUCCCCAUUCGGUUUCGCUUCGGGGUGAGGCGCCGGUUUCUGCCGCCCACGGAAUUCCCUGCGGCUUCCCGCCUGGUUCCUUCCUUCCCACGGAUCCGAGCUCGCCAUCCUCUUCGUCCUCCUCUCCGCUCGGUUGACCGACGCGGAGUGGGGGGGGGGGGGGGGUCCAACCAGGCCUUUUCGUUGAUUUGAGACUCACACCGGAUACUUCCUUAUGGCAUCUGACAUGCAACCACUUAGUGGCCAUGAGAUACCCUCCCGUGUUGUGGAGAACUGUGGAGUUUCUGAUCAUGCAUGUCAUGGCAAAUGCCAAAGCUGUGAUAGCGAUGUAAAACCAUCUUGUGCUGAAGUGAAUGGAAUUUCCUUGUUGAUUGGUAGUCAUACUGAUGGGAAGGCUUCAAAAGAGAAAUGUGGAGCAUGCACUUUUACUUAUGAUUGCGCUGGUCCUGAUGGCUGUUUGAUUGCCACAAAUGGAAGUUGCAUGGCUGUUGAUGAGCUAACACAGCAGUUUGAGAGAGAACAAGCUGGGGCUGCACUAGAGGAUCUGGUUUUCUCUAACGAUGAAGAGGAAGAUGACAGUGACUGGGACCCUGCUAGUGGCCUUGUUAUGAAUAGGUGGUUUUGCUUGAAUUGCACAGUGCCAAAUGUGGACGAGGUUAUGUAUUGCCUGAAUUGCCAUGAGCUUAAGGGAUCAGGUGUAGAUGGAUAUGAUGCUUUCAAAACUCAAAUUGCAGAGGCAGCUUUGGUAUCUCCUGACACAGAAUUGCCGGAGGUGUCUACAGCGAUUGGUUUUGAUGAAAGAAUGCUGCUCCACAGUGAGCUAGAAGUUAAACCAAAUCCACAUCCAGAAAGACCGGACCGCCUUCGUGCAAUUGCUGCCAGUCUUUCUGCUGCAGGAAUCUUUCCCUCAAAAUGUGCUUUGGUACCCCCUAGGGAAAUUACCAAGGAGGAACUCCUAAUGGUUCAUACUCCAGACCACAUUGAAAGUGUUGAGCAGACAAAGAACAUGCUUUACAGUUACUUCACUUCGGAUACUUAUGCAAAUGGACACUCAGCAUGUGCCGCCAAACUUGCAGCAGGACUCUGUGCUGAUCUUGCUAGUUUGAUAGUAUCUGGGCGUGUUCAAAAUGGCUUUGCAAUGGUGAGACCUCCUGGACAUCAUGCAGGGGUGAAGCAAGCAAUGGGUUUUUGUCUUCACAACAAUGCAGCAGUGGCUGCGUUAGCUGCAAAAAGAACAGGUGCCAAGAAAGUCCUCAUAGUUGACUGGGAUGUGCACCAUGGAAAUGGCACACAAGAGAUAUUCGAAGGGGACAAAUCUGUCUUGUACGUAUCGUUACAUCGUCAUGAGUAUGGAAACUUCUACCCUGGAACUGGAGCAGCACAUGAGGUUGGAAUUCAUGAUGGUCAAGGUUUCUCAGUUAAUAUACCUUGGAGCUGUGGCGGUGUUGGAGACAAUGACUACAUCUUUGCUUUUAAGACUGUGGUGCUUCCAAUAGCUGCAGAAUUUGCUCCAGACAUCACAAUAAUAUCUGCAGGAUUCGAUGCAGCUAGAGGUGACCCUCUGGGUUGUUGUGAUGUCACUCCGACGGGAUACUCUAUAAUGACAUCCUUGUUAACUGCUUGCUCAGGGGGAAGAUUGUUAGUUAUACUUGAGGGAGGUGUGAAUGCCAAGUUGCUGCAUCAGAUCCAAAGGAAUGAUUGCCUGGAUGCUGUUGUACUAACAUUGGCCUCUCCAUGUGGAAACUUGCAUGCAUUGAUAUCCCUAGAGCUAUAAUUUCUAGGAAAUGAUGCUCUUCUUUUAAAUAAAAAAUCAUCUUACUCUAAUAAGUGUUCUGGUGGUAAGCAUAUCUAUUUGAGAAGCCCCCCAACAGUACUCAAAUUGUGUUUGUUGUCCUACCGUGCAGAUACAAUCUUCGGUCGAUAUCCUCAUCAGCUACUGAAGUUGUUAAGGUCUUAGUUGGGGACGGUUCAAGUUUUGAUGUUGCAACGGCACCAUCAAAAGAGGGCUUGGAGACUAUUUUACAAGUCCUGAAGAUUCAGCAACAAUUUUGGCCAAUUUUAGGUUCAACCUAUGCAUCACUGCAGGCACAUGAGGGCUAACAAGAAAAGGAAGCAUUCAGGAGGGCCAGGGCCCUUCUGGUGGAAGUUUGGAAGCAAAAGGCUACUGUACAAAGCACUCUAUGAGGGCCCCCUUCUGAGGAAGAUCAAGGGCUUCGGACAAGGAAAAGCAAUUGAUUCGGCAGAUCCUUAGAUGAUGCCGGACAUGAACAGCAUAGUUGUCUGACUGGGGUUCCUAAAGCAGUAGUUUGCAUUUACCUAGAGCCGAAUUUUGACUGGUUUCUUGAAUGGUGGUCGACCAUUUUAGAUGAAGUUUGACAGCAACCCUGUUUUGUUGACGUGUGGUGUUUCAGCCGAUGUAUCAUCUUACCCUGUUUUUUGGCUGGUUCCUACCAUACUAGAUUUUAGCCUCCAGGCUUCAGCGUUAGCAGCAUUGCCUGAUUGGAGUUUGCAUUCCCGUUGGGUUAUUAGAAUGCCAUUGAUGUAUGUAGCAGAUCCUCUAUUGGAAUACCUUGAAGAUUUUGAAUGCGCAUCUCAGUAUUUAGCUCC
This is an RNA transcript of Panicum virgatum (switchgrass), 2655 nucleotides long. It is a transcript of the gene named histone deacetylase 15-like, with no coding region annotated. The transcript has 17 exons. The record is from RefSeq and is a predicted model, not a curated record. Lineage: Eukaryota; Viridiplantae; Streptophyta; Magnoliopsida; Poales; Poaceae.